CGCCUAACACAUGCAAGUCGAACGAAGUAGCAAUACUUAGUGGCAGACGGGUGAGUAACAUGUAGGUAUCUGCCCUUUGGCCUGGAAUAACACGAGGAAACUUGUGCUAAUACCGGAUAAGUCUUUACGGAGAAAGCUUUAUGCACCAUUGGAUGAGCCUGCACUUGAUUAGUUUGUUGGUGGGGUAAUGGCCUACCAAGACUGUGAUCAAUAGCUGAUUUGAGAGGAUGAUCAGCCACAUUGGGACUGAGACACGGCCCAAACUCCUACGGGAGGCAGCAGUGGGGAAUCUUGCACAAUGGAGGAAACUCUGAUGCAGCGAUGCCGCGUGAGUGAAGAAGGCCUUUGGGUUGUAAAGCUCUUUCGUCGGGGAAGAAAAUGACUGUACCCGAAUAAGAAGGUCCGGCUAACUUCGUGCCAGCAGCCGCGGUAAUACGAAGGGACCUAGCGUAGUUCGGAAUUACUGGGCUUAAAGAGUUCGUAGGUGGUUGAAAAAGUUGGUGGUGAAAUCCCAGAGCUUAACUCUGGAACUGCCAUCAAAACUUUUCAGCUAGAGUAUGAUAGAGGAAAGCAGAAUUUCUAGUGUAGAGGUGAAAUUCGUAGAUAUUAGAAAGAAUACCAAUUGCGAAGGCAGCUUUCUGGAUCAUUACUGACACUGAGGAACGAAAGCAUGGGUAGCGAAGAGGAUUAGAUACCCUCGUAGUCCAUGCCGUAAACGAUGUGUGUUAGACGUUGGAAAUUUAUUUUCAGUGUCGCAGCGAAAGCGAUAAACACACCGCCUGGGGAGUACGACCG
RNAcentral lists this ribosomal RNA (795 nucleotides) under uncultured Pelagibacteraceae bacterium. RNAcentral's name for it is "bacterial SSU rRNA". It matches the Rfam family "Bacterial small subunit ribosomal RNA", at positions 45 to 888 of the family's 1533-position model. Lineage: Bacteria; Pseudomonadati; Pseudomonadota; Alphaproteobacteria; Candidatus Pelagibacterales; Candidatus Pelagibacteraceae. The record is from RNAcentral.